This 433-nucleotide ribosomal RNA is filed under the name uncultured eukaryote. Its description in RNAcentral is "eukaryotic LSU rRNA". It matches the Rfam family "Eukaryotic large subunit ribosomal RNA", at positions 1 to 421 of the family's 3401-position model. The record is from RNAcentral.
UCUCAUUAAAAAUCACCCGGUAAACUUAAGCAUAUUAUUCACCGGAGGAAAAGAAAUCAAAUGAGAUAUCCUUAGUAACGGCGAGUGAAAAGGAUAAAGUGCAAAAUUAAAAUCUCAAUUGAAAUAAAUUGAUUGAGAAUUGUAAUUUAUGGGUUAUAAAUGGAAGCAAGUAUUAUUAUUAUUAAGUUAAUUGGAAAAUUGCACCACAGAGAGUGAAAGUCUCGUAUAUAAUAGUAAUAUUUGUUAUUUCUCAUUUAUAUCUUAAGAGUAGUACAGCUUGGGAUUGUUGUAUGAAAAUACAGGUGGUAAAUGGCACCUAACACUAAAUAUAACUGGUAAACCGAUAGCAAACAAGUACUGUGAAGGAAAAUUGAAAUAGAACUUUGAAAAGAGAGUUAAAUAUUAGAAUGUGAAAUUAGACUAGUGAGAACCG